Molecule: ribosomal RNA, 1362 nt
Filed under: Triticum aestivum (bread wheat)
Lineage: Eukaryota; Viridiplantae; Streptophyta; Magnoliopsida; Poales; Poaceae
Description: partial small subunit ribosomal RNA
Source: RNAcentral
AUGGCUUCUCCACUACCGGCAUUCGUUGUGCGGCGAGCGACGCCGGUGCUGGUGGUGCCCUCGGCACCGACGCCGCAGGAGGCGAAGCCGCUGUCGGACAUUGAUGACGCAGCGGUCAUGCGCUUCUACUCCGCGGGCGUCCAUCUGUACCGCGGUGACGUCUCCAAAGAGGGGCAGGACCCCGCCAGGGUCAUCAGGGAGGCGCUGGCAAAGGCCCUGGUCCCCUACUACCCGCUCGCCGGCCGUCUGCGCGAGGAGGCCGGGAGGAAGCUCGUCGUGGAGUGCUACGCGCAGGGCGUCCUGUUCGUCGAGGCUGACGCUGACCUUACGGCGGACGACUUCGGGGACAUUGGGUACCCCCCAUUCCCCUGCUACGAGCAGUUCGUGUUGGACGACACGGCCACCACCAACGACGGCGGCGCCGAGCCGGUCGUCGACCGCCCCCUCUUCUACGUUCAGGUGACGCGGCUCAAGUGUGGAGGCUUCAUAUUUGGGCAUCGUGUGUGCCACUGCAUGGUGGACGCGCCGGGCUGCGUGCAGUUCGUCAGGGCCAUCGCCGAGCUGGCACGCGGCGCCGACGCUCCCUCGGUGCCACCGGCGUGGGGCAGGGAGAUGCUCAUGGCGCGGCAGCCCCCGCAGCCGUCGUCCUACCCGCACCUCGAGUUCCAAGAACCCGCGGGCGGGCCGGAGCCGGACCGGAUGCUCACGACGCCCCCAGGCGACAAGGUGUGCGUCCACUUCUUCUUUGGGCCACGGGAGAUCGCAGCGCUGCGGCAGCGGGUGGCACCGCUCACCUGCUCUCGCUUCGAGCUCGUGGCCGCCUGCGUCUGGCAAAGCCGCACGGCCGCACUUGGCUAUGCAGCCGACGAGGAGGUGCGCCUGUCCCUCAUUGUCAACAUCCGUGGCCGCCCCGGCACCCCUCUGCCGGUAGGCUUCUACGGGAACGCGUUCGCCUACUACGCCGCAGCGACCACGGCCGGGGAACUCUGCCACGGAGGCCUCGGGUUCGCCAUGGAGCUGGUAAAGAAGGCCAAGUCAGCGGUGACGUACGAACACCUGCUGUCGUUGGCGGACCUCAUGGUGGCCACGGGGCGGCCGCUGUUCGCCGUGUCACGGACAUGCAUUCUGUCGGACGUGAGCCAUGCCGGGUUCAAGAGCGUCGACGUGGGUUGGGGGGAGGCUGUGUACGCCGGGCCGGUCAAGAUAGGCGAAGGCCCCAUCCUCGGCUUGAGCACAUAUUUCCUCCGCUCCACCAACGGCAAGGGGGAAGAGGCCACCGUGGUGCCUGUCUGCCUGCCCAAGGACGCCAUGGACAAGUUCCGGCUCGAGGUCGAAGGUCUCACCGGCGGCGCCCAGCUCUAG